Molecule: long non-coding RNA, 391 nt
Organism: Xenia sp. Carnegie-2017
Lineage: Eukaryota; Metazoa; Cnidaria; Anthozoa; Malacalcyonacea; Xeniidae
Exons: 3
Source: RefSeq, a predicted model, not a curated record
GACAGCUUAUAUAAUGGAAAAUAUACACUAAACAUUUAUACCAUAACGAGACGCUAUUCGAGUAGUAUCAAUGUGUAUAUCGCUGUUCCCACAUCAUGUUUCUCGAUGACAAGAAUUUCAGCUGAUAUGCCAUUCAACAUAUCUUCUACUAAAAACGGUUCCAUUGAGGCCCUCUCACCGACAACUAAUCCGCAAUCAAGUGUCUUUGCAUCUACAAACGGUAACUGAGUUUUUCGAGUUUACUUUUUUGCGUUUUGCUAAUGUUCAGCCCAUAGUUUAAAGUAUAGCUACCAAAGUAUACUAUGUUCAUAAUGCUAAAAACAUAUUGCGAAGAAAAAAGAACUGUUGAUCGAAUUGCUGUUGCUUUAGUUUCCAGUUGUGCUUGAAUUGA